Molecule: ribosomal RNA, 493 nt
Filed under: uncultured Bacillota bacterium
Lineage: Bacteria; Bacillati; Bacillota
Description: uncultured Firmicutes bacterium partial 16S ribosomal RNA
Source: RNAcentral
CACGUAGUUAGCCGUGACUUCCUCGCCGGGUACCAUCACUCAGAAAGCUUUCCACUCUUUCUGCCUUUUGUCCCCGGCAACAGAGCUUUACGAUCCGAAGACCUUCCUCGCUCACGCGGCGUUGCUCGUUCAGGGUUCCCCCCAUUGACGAAAAUUCCCUACUGCUGCCUCCCGCAGGAGUCUGGGCCGUGUCUCAGUCCCAGUGUGGCCGUCCGCCCUCUCAGGCCGGCUAUGCAUCGUCGCCUUGGUGAGCCGUUACCUCUCCAACCAGCUAAUGCACCGCAGGUCCAUCUGCAUGCGGGACUCUUGUCCCCUUUUCCAAAAAGAGAUGCCUCCUCUUUGCUCAUCCGGUAUCAGCUUCCGUUUCCAGAAGUUCUCCCGCUCAUGCAGGCAGGUUCCCUACGUGUUACUCACCCGUUCGCCACUCAUAUCCGAAGAUAUCCGUUCGACUUGCAUGUAUUAGGCAUGCCGCAGCGUUCAUCCUGAGCCAGGA